Molecule: ribosomal RNA, 500 nt
Filed under: uncultured bacterium
Lineage: Bacteria
Description: bacterial SSU rRNA
Rfam family: Bacterial small subunit ribosomal RNA
Source: RNAcentral
AAAUGAAUUGACGGGGACCCGCACAAGUAGCGGAGCAUGUGGUUUAAUUCGAAGCAACGCGAAGAACCUUACCUAAGCUUGACAUACCUUUGCAAAGCUCCCAUAAAAAGAGCUCCUGUAUUUAUACACAAAGGAUACAGGUGGUGCAUGGUUGUCGUCAGCUCGUGUCGUGAGAUGUUGGGUUAAGUCCCGCAACGAGCGCAACCCUUGUGUCAGGUUACCAGCACGUAAAGGUGGGGACUCCAGACAGACAGUGGAUGACAAAUCCAAGGAAGGUGGGGAUGACGUCAAAUCAUCAUGCCCCUUAUGCUUAGGGCUACACACGUGCUACAAUGGUCGGUACAAAAAGCAGCAAACUCGCAAGAGCAAGCGAAUCUAAAAAAACCGAUCCCAGUUCGGAUUGCAGGCUGAAACUCGCCUGCAUGAAGCCGGAGUUACUAGUAAUCGUAGAUCAGAAUGCUACGGUGAAUGCGUUCCCGGGUCUUGUACACACCGCCCGU